CAGAGACUGCAAGCGUUAUUCGGAUUCACUGGGCGUAAAGGGUGCGCAGGCGGCCAAGUGUGUUAGGCGUGAAAGCCCGGGGCUUAACCCCGGAAUUGCACCUAAAACUACAUGGCUAGAGCAUUGGAGAGGGUAGCGGAAUUCACGGUGUAGCAGUGAAAUGCGUGGAUAUCGUGAGGAACACCAGAGGCGAAGGCGGCUACCUGGACAAUUGCUGACGCUCAGGCACGAAAGCGUGGGGAGCAAAAGGGAUUAGAUACCCCUGUAGUCCACGCCCUAAACGGUGCACACUAGGUCUUGACGGAUUCGACCCCACCAGGGCCCAAGCUAACGCGUUAAGUGUGCCGCCUGAGGACUACGGUCGCAAGACUA
RNAcentral lists this ribosomal RNA (372 nucleotides) under uncultured organism. RNAcentral describes it as "bacterial SSU rRNA". It matches the Rfam family "Bacterial small subunit ribosomal RNA", at positions 526 to 896 of the family's 1533-position model. The record is from RNAcentral.